Molecule: ribosomal RNA, 468 nt
Filed under: uncultured bacterium
Lineage: Bacteria
Description: partial 16S ribosomal RNA
Rfam family: Bacterial small subunit ribosomal RNA
Source: RNAcentral
GACGAACGCUGGCGGCGUGCUUAACACAUGCAAGUCGAACGGAAAGGCCCUGCUUUUGUGGGGUGCUCGAGUGGAGAACGGGUGAGUAACACGCGUGUAAGCUGUACUUGACUUUGGGAUAACUUCAGGAAACUGGGGCUAACACCGGAUAGGAGCUCCUGCUGCAUGGUGGGGGCUGGAAAGUUUCGGCGGUUGGGGAUGGACUCGCGGCUUAUCAGCUUGGUGGUGUGGUAGUGGCUUACCAAGGCUUUGACGGGUAGCCUGCCUGAGAGGGGGACCUGCCAAGUUAGAACUGGGAUGCGACCCAGACUCGAACGGGAGGCAACGGUGGAGUGUGUAACACAGGAGACUGAAGCCUGAUGCGACAACGCCACGUGCGGUAAGACAGCCUUCGGGUAGUGAACCACAUUCGCCUGAGACGAGGCGUUAAUGACGGUAAUGGGUAAAGAAGCACCGGCUAACUCCGUG